AUCUGCAAAUAAAUUGUUUAUUUUCAUUUCUAAAGUAAUAGAAGCGUAAAGUUACAAUGGAGAAAAAUUAAAACACCCCAAUAUUUAUUUUAUAUAAAAGAAAUAAUAUUUCUAUAAAAUAAUUUCUAUUUUAUUACACAGUGAAAACCUCACAGAGAAGAUGCUAGCUUUUCUCCAAGUAAAAGGAAUGUAUCCCUGGUUGCAUUUAAAGCCUUUAUUUUUCAUGGCAUCACUGACAUUACAGUGUCCUGUAAGCCACAAGUCUUUUUAACACCUUGUCUUAAUAGUCAUUUAUUCAAGUAUAAAGAUUAAAUUAAAAAUAAGUGAAAGCAACUGAUGCAUGAAGGCAAAAAAACCAAACCAAAAUCAAACCAAACCCCAAAAAGAGUAUUUAAAUCUCAUCCUUUCUUGCCUGACACAAUCAAUCAUGCUUCACUUAAAUCCUUGGUCUUCUGUUACCCUCAUACAUUAUCUCCGAGUUAGCUCUGGGGAAAGGAGCAGAUCCAUAAAUCAUCUGCAGAGAGAUAUUAAUUUAUUUGUAUUUCAGAUGAGAUACCUCCCCCUGUCCAAACUCAAAACAGAGUCUUCUCUCUUCUGUGAAUGACUAGCAGGAAAUUAGAGCUCAGCAGAGCUAAAAUUCUUCCCUGAAAGCCCUCUUAUUAUCUUCUUUGUGAGUGUCUGUGGAUAGCAUCACCAGUUUACUUGCCACUCAAGCUUGUUUGUCAGCUGUCAAGUCUGACUGAAAUGUCUUUGUAGAUCCUAGAACCCAGGGUAUAUACCAGUUUGGCAGCUCCAAAACAUCCUUGCAGCUAAGACCCUUGUUCUCCUGUUGAUAUACAAAGACUGCCCUAAUACCUCUCCCUCCAGUAUUAACCAAAACAGCUCCUAACACAACAGCCAUUGACCAGUGGAAAUGCCACAGAGCAAAGCUGACUGUAGGCCUCCUAUUAAUGAUCAAAUACACCCCAGCUAUCAAAUGGAAACAACGAAUGCAAUUUAACUGAUUCUCCUAAUUCAAAUUUGUUCAGAAAAAUGUUGAAGGGAUAACUUUGUACCAGUAGACAAUAAGCACCAAUCAGUUAUUGUCAGUCCUUCCAGAGGCAGAACAAAAAAUCUGUAGCAUGAACAGAAGCUAAUAUGAGUGUAAUGUGACACCAUGGCCAUACCUCAUACAGAUCAAUUUAGUACUUCUGAGAGACUGAGCUCUGCACAACCUUGGAAUUAACAAAUCUAAAACUGCAACCCAGGAUUUUUUACAUAUAUCAUUAACCACAUAACUUUGCUAUUUUAGGGAUUCUCCUAGUUCCCUCUUCUCUAUUGCAUCAAACAUUAUUUACUUACCUUCAUUUCCAAGGGCAUCUACAAGUCAUCCUUCUGUUCAUUAUCUCCCAUUUCCUUUCCAGUUGACUCCUCCACUCUGUUGCCUACUUGUUGAAAUUCCAGACAAAACAUUUGUUGUGCUUGAUUUCAUGCUGUUUUUGAGACAUGGAGGAGACUAUGAACAUGCUACAGAAUUAAGCAGCUCAAGCAGUGUGUGCAGACAGACUCUGGCUUCCUGUGCCCUUUGAGUCUGGCCAGGCUCAAUCCAAUUUGGUCUGUGACAACCAGUCUCAGUACAGCACCCCCAUGCUAACAUGUCCCCCAGAACAGCAACUCGAUGAAGUUUGAUCUGUUUGACUAACUCCUGUCAGUACAUCAAUUCCAUUGCAAGCUGCAGAACAUUCCUGUUAAAGGAGACAAAGAUGCUUCACUGAUGCUACUUCAGUAUGACUCAGGACAACAGUCUAUGUGCUUUGGAGAGGUAACAGCACUCUGGCUUUAUUAACAUAGACAUCAGUCAUUUUCCAAGGAAGAUAUCACCCUUUAUAGUCUAUGGUAACUUCCUUAGGUGUUAUAUUCAAAAUUAAUUCAAAGAAAGGAAACAAGAGAGUGAAAAGAAUGCUUACCAGUACAGUUUUUUAACCUAUAUGGUCAUGUCAUUGAGCAGAACAGAUUGACAGUCUGCUAUUAUUUUUCUUUUAAAUUCUGGCUGCUUAGAAAUGUGAUUUAAAAAACACCACAAAAACAAACAAGCAGAAAAACCCUAACAAAACAAAACCAAACUCAGUUAAAUCUUUCUUAAAAAUCCUGGAACCGGGGGCUUAGGAAAUAGUUUUAUUUCUAUGCAAAAUCAUUUAAGUACACAGCUUUCCUAGAGACUGGAUCCAGAAUGGGGAGUAAAAGCAACAGAGAUUUUAUUAUAUUGCAUAUUUCUUUCAGUACAGAAGCCAAAGGUACUCAAAGAUAUUCGACCUGAACAAUACUUUAGGAAAGGGGGAAGUGAAAUCUUGCUGAGUGAGCAACAAUUUCUGAUAUAAUUGUAAUGGUGCAGAAUGUCAUGGCAUGCAAGGAACAAAGAUAUGAAAUGUGAUUUUAUAGCAAUGUCUGAAGCUUACCUGUGUCUGAAGCUAAGGUAAUAAACACAAACCAUGAUGGACA
Junco hyemalis (dark-eyed junco) is the source of this 2478-nucleotide long non-coding RNA. The record is from Ensembl. NCBI's taxonomy places the organism in Eukaryota, Metazoa, Chordata, Aves, Passeriformes, Passerellidae.